CCUACGGGUGGCAGCAGUGAGGAAUAUUGGUCAAUGGACGAGAGUCUGAACCAGCCAAGUAGCGUGAAGGAUGACUGCCCUAUGGGUUGUAAACUUCUUUUAUAUGGGAAUAAAAUGUUCCACGUGUGGGAUUUUGUAUGUACCAUAUGAAUAAGGAUCGGCUAACUCCGUGCCAGCAGCCGCGGUAAUACGGAGGAUCCGAGCGUUAUCCGGAUUUAUUGGGGUAAAAGGGAGCGUAGGUGGAUUGUUAAGUCAGUGGUCAAAUACGGGGGCUCAACCUGCGUCCGCCGUUGAAACUGGCGUUCUUGAGUGGGCGAGAAGUACGCGGAAUGCGUGGUGUAGCGGUGAAAUGCAUAGAUAUCACGCAGAACCCCGAUUGCGAAGGCAGCGUACCGGCGACCGACUGACGCUGAAGCACGAAAGCGUGGGUAGCGAACAGGAUUAGAUACCCCUGUAGUC
This 459-nucleotide ribosomal RNA is filed under the name uncultured bacterium. RNAcentral's name for it is "partial 16S ribosomal RNA". It matches the Rfam family "Bacterial small subunit ribosomal RNA", at positions 338 to 795 of the family's 1533-position model. The record is from RNAcentral.